Molecule: long non-coding RNA, 1974 nt
Filed under: Junco hyemalis (dark-eyed junco)
Lineage: Eukaryota; Metazoa; Chordata; Aves; Passeriformes; Passerellidae
Description: lncRNA (ENSJHYG00000003795.1)
Source: RNAcentral
GCACUGCUGAGUUUUGGGAGCAAUUUUCUCCUGUCCUCAUUAAAAGCCUGUGGUUGUCCUGCCUUCCUACUGCUGCUUCCACUGCUCACAGCUACCUUUUGAGUUUCAGAAGCCCAAACACAGAGAUGAAUCUCACAAAGUACCUUUGCCUCCGGUUUCCCGGCUGUGUGGGCUCAGCUUAUUUGUUGCUCAGAGAGUGAAAUAGAUACCUAAAAUCCUGAGAAUUCAGCGAGGAUUUGCUUGUAGGGGAGUGCUGAAACAGCUGCUGAAGCUUUGUCUGGUGAGAUUUUUCCCAGCUGUCUCCCUUCCAUGUGGUUCUCUCCAGGCCUGACAGAUGGGAUGAGCAGUGGCAGGGCUGGGGGAGCAUCCCUGUGCCGGGAUGGGGCCCAUCAAGAUCCCCUUCAUGGUAUUGAGUAGAGGCCUAAAGGCUCCAGUGAUGGAUUGUGUCACAUGAUGCCACUGCAUCACUCCAUGUGUGACCAUGGCCAGCCCUGUGCCACCCCACCAGGGACUGUCUCCUUGCCUGUCUGCACUCUGAGGACAACAGCAUGGAAAACAUCGCUGAGACAGUGGUGUCCUCACUGUGGUGGAUGCAGGGACAGGAGGAUCAGCUCUGAUUUUUCUUAUCUCCAUGGGCAGAGGUGGCAAGAGGUAGAUGAGGACAGCAGGAGCAGGGACUGCCUUUUUCCGCAGCAAGUGCUGGAUGAAGAUGUGUGUGAAGCUUCAGCUUGAAACCAAUUAUGCCUCAGCUCUUCACUGGUGGGAAUCGAGUUAAUAAUAAUCUCUCAUUGUCUUCCUGUCCUCCUUCUGCUAUUAUCUGUGCUGCAAUCCAAAGGAGCACUGGUUUUAGCUGUUUAGCAUUUCUGUAAUAACUGCAGCCACAGAUGCAAAGUAUUCCACUUAAAGUGGUAUUCUUCAGAGUGAAACAUGAUGUUGAUGCCUCAGCUAGCUGUAGGUGAACUCAAAGUUUGCAUUUUUUAGCCAAAAAAAGUUUUCUUGCAUGCUUUUUCUGUCUGAGAGAACCGCAAAACAAAAAUGCCUGUCUUUUAAAUUCUCAGCCCCACACUUCCUGACUGACCCAAUAUGAACCACUGCUGCUCUGCACACAUUAUUUCCUCUCUUUGAAAAACAAAAGAAAAAAAUUAGCCACAGUCUGGCAAUACCUUGAAUUUCCAUUGACCUUAUGUCUCAUCUUUUGGGGGUAGCAAGCUGCUCUUGACAUGAAGGGAGCUAAAAGCAGAGCAGGGCAGAGGCGGACAUGGGGUUGGAGACAUCUCCUCCUCCAGCCCUUUCUCAUUCUGCUGACUGAUCUCCUCCCUGACAUCAAAGCACCUCACCAGUGUCCACUGUCGUAGGAGGCUGGAAAUAUUUUGUUAUAUUCUUUCUGCAGUAUCAAGGAUGUUUUUUGCUGCCUUUUUUGUCUGGCAAUUUUCUUAGCAAAACCUCCUGCUGCCGCACUGCUGCUAUUGCACUGCCCGCUGCUAAACCUGGCUGUUGUCACACUGCAAAAAUCAUCAAAAAGCAACUUUAGCUCUUGUCUUGGCUGUGUGACUGAGGCUUUCCUGCCACAGCAGUGGCCAAGGUCUUCUCAGCCCACUGAAGAUGUCUGUCACCAAGUCAGCAGCUCUGUGUGUUCCCUCCAUCUGUGCUGCCAGAGCAGGGGAAAGCCGCUGACUGGCACGCACUGGGAGCAGGAUUUUCUUUCUCUUCCUUAGAGGUCCUAUAAGGAGACUCUUCUCCAGUUAUAUUUCUGCAUGGCUUUUUAUUUUUAGUUUUCUGUAUUUUCUUUUUCGUCAAAGAGUGUCAUGUUUUGUUUUAUUUUCAUAAAAUGUCUCAAAAAUGAACUCUGUUUUGCCAUAUUCAAACUCUGCUUUGAUAGAAAUAAUUGUAUUGCAUUUCAAUCUGUCAAAAUAGUAUUUAUUUCUAAAUAGAUUUAUCUACAGAUCUCAUAAUAAAUUAUGAUUAUUAUUUGCA